AGGCGGCCGCCGAACCCGCCGCAGAUGGGCCGGCGGCGUGACGAGCCCGAGGUGGGCAGCACCACGCCGCUUGGGGAGCCGCCGCCGCACAUGCCGCCGCAUCCACACGACCCAGCAUCCUACCACUUAUGGCAUCCGCUGUUUGGCAAAUUUUUGUAGGAGAAAAUUCAAUUGGAAAUAAUAUCCAAAAGGGGUACAACAGCCCAUGGAGUUGGACAACAGUGACCGCGACGGGCGACUGACCGCGGGCCCCGCGCGGGCCGGCGCCCGCGCACCCCCAGUAACGCGGGACGGGAGGGGGCGGGCGGGGGAGAGUGAGGGUGCCCAGUGGUUCCUAAACUGUAGGGUUGGACUUGAUACCCCUUGAUAAAAAUGCGCGGCAAACGUUAAUCGGCCGAUGUCGUUAUUUUUUUAAAUAGUUGAAUUUACGUGAUUGGUUGGCUUAUUCGGUUAUUUUUAAUCUAUUUUGUUUUAAGGAAAGCGUAGGUGUUCCUAUACCGUAGAUUGGAAACUUUUUGUUCUAUCGAUACCUAAUUUUGUUACAAUUGGGUAUUAAGCCCUAAACUUUUGAUUUGAAUUAAUCCAGUAGUAAGUAGCGUAAAUUAGAAAAGACAAAAUAGUACCUUUUUUUUUAAUUAGUACCUACGCCAUUUGGACUAUUCAAAUAAGCUCUUAUGAAUUUAGUUUGCAAUUAAAAUAUUCAAAUAAGAACAAUCUAAGACCAGACAAAAUGUAACAACGAUACUUUUGGAAAAUAAUACGCUUACAAAAUUCAAUUUAGUAAUUUUAACAAAUUAUUUUCGUUAAAUUUGCGUGCCAUUAAAUUAGAGAGGGGUAAGUUUGUAACAGUUUGGGAACCACUGUCGUAGGGACUUGAUUUAUAGAAUCAAUGUCAUACCUUUCUCAUGUUUGACAAGACCGCCUAUAAGUCCGACAAUCGAAACAACUGCUGACGGCUCUAAUACACCGAUUUCAAUCUUACGCCAUUGGAAACAUAGUACAUUUUAAAUGCAAUGAAGUCUUGUAGUAGUGCAUAAAUUAUCGCCGAUCUCAAAAGUGACAGUUCUGAAAUCGCAAUGUUACAAUUAAACGAUUGUAUCUGUACAUAAUAACUUACAAGAUUGAAAUGUUUAUUAAUAAAGUACAUAGAUUGAAAUUGAUAUCGUUAGUAAGACUAAUGACAGCAAAGUAGUACCUAACACUAAGUAAUCAAUUUGACUAGAAAGCAGUUAUCUUUGGGAAUGCAACGUCAUCGGUAGUGUACGUUAGAUCAUAUUACUUGCAUUAGUGCUCCUUCUUUCAUAGAGCAACGAUUCUGUUACUAAACCGAUGUCGAUGUGUUCCAAAAAGACGCCACAAAUUAGCUAUCCCAAUUAAUUUUACUUUCUCACCAUAAUUAACAACAAAUCACAAAAUUUAGUUUGUAU
Ostrinia nubilalis (European corn borer) is the source of this 1427-nucleotide long non-coding RNA. RefSeq lists it as uncharacterized. The record is from RefSeq and is a predicted model, not a curated record. NCBI's taxonomy places the organism in Eukaryota, Metazoa, Arthropoda, Insecta, Lepidoptera, Crambidae. The transcript is spliced from 3 exons.